This 1194-nucleotide ribosomal RNA is filed under the name Pseudobagrus kyphus. RNAcentral describes it as "partial 16S rRNA". It matches the Rfam family "Bacterial large subunit ribosomal RNA", at positions 711 to 2557 of the family's 2925-position model. The record is from RNAcentral. Lineage: Eukaryota; Metazoa; Chordata; Actinopteri; Siluriformes; Bagridae.
AACCCCGAAACUACGUGAGCUACCCCGAAACAGCCUAUAAAUUAGGGCCAACCCGUCUCUGUGGCAAAAGAGUGGGAAGAUUUCCGGGUAGAGGUGACAAACCUACCGAACCUAGUUAUAGCUGGUUACCUAAGAAAUGAAUAGAAGUUCAGCCUCACACUCCUUACCUCAAAAAUAAAUUUAAAUCACACGAGACAGAGAAACAUGUGAGAGUUAGUCAAAAGAGGUACAGCUCUUUUGAAAUAGGACACAACCUCACCAGGAGGUUAAAGAUUACAUUAAACAAGAUAAAACCGCUUUAGUGGGCCUAAAAGCAGCCACCAAAACAGAAAGCGUUAAAGCUCUGGCGGAAUAAAAAUCCUUUAUCCAAAUAUAUUAUCUAAAACCCCUAACCUUAUUAGGUCACUCCAUGCCUACAUGGAAGAAAUACUGCUAAAAUGAGUAAUAAGAAAGAAUCCCUUUCUCCUAGCUUACGUGUAUAUUAGAUCGGACCAACCACUAAUAAUUAUCGAACCCAAUAAAAGAGGGUAAUGUGAGCACCUAAAACAUCAAGAAAACCUCACAUGAAAUAAUCGUUAAACCUACACCGGAAAGCCUAUAUAGGAAAGACUAAAAGAAAAGGAAGGAACUCGGCAAACACAUAAGCCUCGCCUGUUUACCAAAAACAUCGCCUCCUGCAAAAAUCAACGUAUAGGAGGUCUUGCCUGCCCAGUGACAAGUUAAACGGCCGCGGUAUUUUGACCGUGCGAAGGUAGCGCAAUCACUUGUCUUUUAAAUGAAGACCUGUAUGAAUGGUGGAACGAGGGCUUAACUGUCUCCCCUUUCAAGUCAAUGAAAUUGAUCUGCCCGUGCAGAAGCGGACAUAAAACUACAAGACGAGAAGACCCUUUGGAGCUUAAGACUUAAGAUCAACUAUGUCAAGAACCUCUAACAAAUUAAACUAAAUAGCAACUGAUCCCUGUCUUCGGUUGGGGCGACCACGGGAGAAAACAAAGCUCCCACGCGGACCGGGAUUAUACCCUAAAACUAAGAGAGACAUCUCUAAGGCACAGAAUUUCUGACCAUAAAGAUCCGGCUCUAUGCCGAUCAACGGACCAAGUUACCCUAGGGAUAACAGCGCAAUCCCCUUUAAGAGUCCAUAUCGACAAGGGGGUUUACGACCUCGAUGUUGGAUCAGGACAUCCUAAUGGUGCA